GAUGAAGAACGCAGCGAAAUGCGAUAAGUAGUGUGAAUUGCAGAAUUCCGUGAAUCAUCGAAUCUUUGAACGCACAUUGCGCCUUCUGGUAUUCCGGAAGGCAUGCCUGUUCGAGAGUCAUUAACAACCGUUUCGAUCCCUUUCUUUCAGAAAUUACAAAGAGGAAAAGGGUUUGGUUAUGGUGGAGGAGGGAAAGGGAGCGUUUAGCCUGUAAAAAAAGAGGCUGUGUUCCGCCUCCCCCCCAAAAUUGUACAGGCGGUCGUGUGCGCCCACGCAUCGAGGUGUUGUAAAAGCUGCCACGGCACUUUUCACCUGUGCAGUGCGAGAUUGGCCAGCCGGUUUAAAAACCCCUCCAAACAAUCAAUGGUUGACCUCGGAUCAGGUAGGGAUACCCGCUGAACUUAAGCAUAUCAAUAAGCGGAGGA
RNAcentral lists this unclassified non-coding RNA (425 nucleotides) under soil metagenome. Its description in RNAcentral is "partial contains 5.8S ribosomal RNA, internal transcribed spacer 2, and large subunit ribosomal RNA". The stretch from base 1 to 120 matches the Rfam family "5.8S ribosomal RNA", at positions 35 to 154 of the family's 154-position model. The record is from RNAcentral.